This 578-nucleotide ribosomal RNA is filed under the name uncultured cyanobacterium. Its description in RNAcentral is "bacterial SSU rRNA". It matches the Rfam family "Bacterial small subunit ribosomal RNA", at positions 804 to 1382 of the family's 1533-position model. Lineage: Bacteria; Bacillati; Cyanobacteriota. The record is from RNAcentral.
AAACGAUGAACACUAGGUGUCGGGGGAAUCGACCCCUUCGGUGUCGUAGCUAACGCGUUAAGUGUUCCGCCUGGGGAGUACGCACGCAAGUGUGAAACUCAAAGGAAUUGACGGGGGCCCGCACAAGCGGUGGAGUAUGUGGUUUAAUUCGAUGCAACGCGAAGAACCUUACCAGGGUUUGACAUCCUGCGAACCUCUUAGAAAUUUGAGUGUGCCUUCGGGAAUGCAGUGACAGGUGGUGCAUGGCUGUCGUCAGCUCGUGUCGUGAGAUGUUGGGUUAAGUCCCGCAACGAGCGCAACCCACGUUUUUAGUUGCCAGCAUUUAGUUGGGCACUCUAGAAAGACCGCCGGUGAUAAACCGGAGGAAGGUGUGGAUGACGUCAAGUCAUCAUGCCCCUUACACCCUGGGCUACACACGUACUACAAUGCUACGGACAAAGGGCAGCAAACUCGCGAGAGCUAGCAAAUCCCAUAAACCGUGGCUCAGUUCAGAUCGUAGGCUGCAACUCGCCUACGUGAAGUAGGAAUCGCUAGUAAUCGCAGGUCAGCAUACUGCGGUGAAUACGUUCCCGGGCCUU